GGACCGGAAGCAGUUUGGCAGGAUUGCAACCACUGCCAAACCUGUCAUAACAAUUUACAACUGUGUAGGGAAUGUUAUAUCAAAGAUUUUGUGGAACAGCGGAGUCCUGGUCCACAUGGGCUGGUCGGACGGGGAGCAGCUGCUGUGUGUGCAGGAGAGCGGAGAUGUGCUCGUUUAUGACAUGUUUGGCGCCUACCAGAAGACAUUCAAUAUGGGGCAAGAAAUUAGGGACACUAAGGUCAGCAAAGCACAGCUGUUCCCAAAU
Cydia splendana is the source of this 265-nucleotide long non-coding RNA. RefSeq lists it as uncharacterized. NCBI's taxonomy places the organism in Eukaryota, Metazoa, Arthropoda, Insecta, Lepidoptera, Tortricidae. The transcript is spliced from 3 exons. The record is from RefSeq and is a predicted model, not a curated record.